UACGAAGGGGGCUAGCGUUGUUCGGAAUUACUGGGCGUAAAGCGCACGUAGGCGGACUAUUAAGUCAGGGGUGAAAUCCCGGGGCUCAACCCCGGAACUGCCUUUGAUACUGGUAGUCUCGAGUCCGGAAGAGGUGAGUGGAAUUCCGAGUGUAGAGGUGAAAUUCGUAGAUAUUCGGAGGAACACCAGUGGCGAAGGCGGCUCACUGGCUCGGUACUGACGCUGAGGUGCGAAAGCGUGGGGAGCAAACAGG
RNAcentral lists this ribosomal RNA (253 nucleotides) under uncultured bacterium. Its description in RNAcentral is "partial 16S ribosomal RNA". It matches the Rfam family "Bacterial small subunit ribosomal RNA", at positions 524 to 776 of the family's 1533-position model. The record is from RNAcentral.